This 496-nucleotide ribosomal RNA is filed under the name uncultured bacterium. Its description in RNAcentral is "partial 16S ribosomal RNA". It matches the Rfam family "Bacterial small subunit ribosomal RNA", at positions 28 to 506 of the family's 1533-position model. The record is from RNAcentral.
GAUGAACGCUGGCGGCGUGCCUAAUACAUGCAAGUCGAGCGAACAGACGAGGAGCUUGCUCCUCUGACGUUAGCGGCGGACGGGUGAGUAACACGUGGAUAACCUACCUAUAAGACUGGGAUAACUUCGGGAAACCGGAGCUAAUACCGGAUAAUAUAUUGAACCGCAUGGUUCAAUAGUGAAAGACGGUUUUGCUGUCACUUAUAGAUGGAUCCGCGCCGCAUUAGCUAGUUGGUAAGGUAACGGCUUACCAAGGCGACGAUGCGUAGCCGACCUGAGAGGGUGAUCGGCCACACUGGAACUGAGACACGGUCCAGACUCCUACGGGAGGCAGCAGUAGGGAAUCUUCCGCAAUGGGCGAAAGCCUGACGGAGCAACGCCGCGUGAGUGAUGAAGGUCUUCGGAUCGUAAAACUCUGUUAUUAGGGAAGAACAAAUGUGUAAGUAACUAUGCACGUCUGGACGGUACCUAAGCAGAAAGCCACGGCUAACUACGG